AGUGAACGCUGGCGGUAGGCCUAACACAUGCCAGUCGAACGGCAGCACAGUAAGAGCUUGCUCUUACGGGUGGCGAGUGGCGGACGGGUGAGGAAUACAUCGGAAUCUACUUUUUCGUGGGGGAUAACGUAGGGAAACUUACGCUAAUACCGCAUACGACCUACGGGUGCAAGCAGGGGAUCUUCGGACCUUGCGCGAUUGAAUGAGCCGAUGUCGGAUUAGCUAGUUGGCGGGGUAAAGGCCCACCAAGGCGACGAUCCGUAGCUGGUCUGAGAGGAUGAUCAGCCACACUGGAACUGAGACACGGUCCAGACUCCUACGGGAGGCAGCAGUGGGGAAUAUUGGACAAUGGGCGCAAGCCUGAUCCAGCCAUACCGCGUGGGUGAAGAAGGCCUUCGGGUUGUAAAGCCCUUUUGUUGGGAAAGAAAAGCAGCAGGUUAAUACCCCGCUGUUCUGACGGUACCCAAAGAAUAAGCACCGGCUAACUUCGUG
RNAcentral lists this ribosomal RNA (492 nucleotides) under uncultured bacterium. RNAcentral describes it as "partial 16S ribosomal RNA". It matches the Rfam family "Bacterial small subunit ribosomal RNA", at positions 29 to 507 of the family's 1533-position model. The record is from RNAcentral.